GGAAGGGUCGCUCAGCGGCAGAGCACCGUGGUUCCACCGCGGCGGCAUUUCGCCUCGUGGCGUUCGAAUCCCACCCCUUCCG
Molecule: transfer RNA, 82 nt
Filed under: Natrinema longum
Lineage: Archaea; Methanobacteriati; Methanobacteriota; Halobacteria; Halobacteriales; Natrialbaceae
Also listed under: 1 other name
Description: tRNA-Gly
Rfam family: tRNA
About the family: Transfer RNA (tRNA) molecules are approximately 80 nucleotides in length. Their secondary structure includes four short double-helical elements and three loops (D, anti-codon, and T loops).
Source: RNAcentral